Molecule: ribosomal RNA, 356 nt
Filed under: uncultured bacterium
Lineage: Bacteria
Description: bacterial SSU rRNA
Rfam family: Bacterial small subunit ribosomal RNA
Source: RNAcentral
AACGAACGCUGGCGGCGUGGAUUAGGCAUGCAAGUCGAACGCGAAAGAGGGAGCAAUCCCUCAAGUAGAGUGGCGAACGGGUGAGUAACGCGUGAAGAACCUGCCUUCAACAGGGGGAGUAACACUCCCAACCGGGGUGGCUAAUACCGCAUGAGACCACGGGUCCGCAUGGACCUGAGGUCAAAGGUGGCCUCUGCCUGCAAGCUACCGGUUGAAGAUGGCUUCGCGUCCCAUUAGCUAGUUGGCGGUGUAAAAGACCACCAAGGCGACGAUGGGUAGCUGGUCUGAGAGGAUGGUCAGCCACACUGGGACUGAGAUACGGCCCAGACUCCUACGGGAGGCAGCAGUCGAGAGGC